This 4587-nucleotide long non-coding RNA is filed under the name Homo sapiens (human). RNAcentral describes it as "non-protein coding lnc-ADAMTS15-2:3". Lineage: Eukaryota; Metazoa; Chordata; Mammalia; Primates; Hominidae. The record is from RNAcentral.
AGUCUCUUUCCCAGCAGUGAUGCCGUCUCAGCCACCAGUUCUCUGCCAGCGGGGUCAGCACAGGCAUGGUGAGGGGGAGAGGAAGGAGCUGUCUGUAACACUGCUUAACCUCUGGCACGUGGAGUCUGAUUGCCUGGGUCAGCUGCUAUCUGUGUCUUGUUUAGCAUCCUUUCUCCUGUGUGUCCUGCCCUCUGGCCCAUCUGUCCAGCUGAUGGUGGGGUUUGCAAGCAGAGGGAUGCCUGUCUCCCAGCUCUGGCUGUGUUGCUCUAGCCCAACAGAUGCUUGGAACAAAUAAACAGGCCAGCAAGUCUUGGAGAGGUUGUCAGGCUGAGUUGAGACAUGCUGUCCCUUUUGAAAGCUGUUGAUGUACUUAGAAGGAUCAGCAUCUGGGGCCAGAUCAUCUCUGACUCUACAUUAAAGCCAGAGUUCUCAUCUUCUUCAUAAUGAUGGUAUGUACUAGUGUUUAAUGCUGCAUUCUUUUCAAAGUCCCAAGAUCACCAGCCAACAAUUAGUUAACUGGGGCCCUGCAGUCAGGGUCUUGGACUCCAAGUCCUGAGUGCUUUUCCUGGCCAAUGCAGAUUCACAACUUCGGGGGUUAGUCUCGAGAGCAUUAGAAGUCCCUCAGAAAUUGUGAGCUGUGAGGGGACUGACUGUGAUUUCACUGGGGUUACAUGUCCCUUGCUUCUUUUAGGAGAACAAGCUUGGGACACUAUUGGACACACUUCUGAGGGUUUGGAUCAGAGGGGCAGGGGCAUAUGGAGGACUGAUCCCCAGAGUCAGACCUCAACCAUGCUGGGGUGUAGAAAUGAGCCAGGCUCAGGAAUCCAGCAGACACAUGCUUUUGAGCACUGCCUCCAUUUGGCAGGUCCUAAACUUCUCUGAGCCUUGGUUUUCCUCCAGGUAAAGCGGGUAUGGCAUACAUGAUAGUGCUUGGCGUUUUGUGAGGAUGCACUGGGUGAGCAUUCAGCAACUGUAACCUCCCUUCCUAUUUCUCCCUGGCUUGUUCCUCAAGUCCCUUCUUGCAGAAAGACCACAGCCAAUCUCGGCCCUUUUCUUCUCCCUUGCCUUGGCUGCCUCUUGUUCAUGUUGGUCGGCACUCUUAACCAGCCCCCUCGUAGUCACCCGUGAGAUUGAGCACGUGGCUGCCGCACAGCCCCCCACAAACACGCUGGUAGGGGCUGAGAGGCUUGAAUGAGACAACUCCGAUUCUGUGCUCAGCAGCUCGGUGGCCGGCCUGUUGGGUGCAUGUUAACUGUGAUUAUUGUUAUGCAGGACUCACGAGGGAAAACUUCAGUGACUCACAAAGUCUUGGGGUUGGAAGGGACCUUUGCCAUCAUUCUUCCCUGUUUCCUCUUUUGGCAGAUGUGGUCUCAGAGGCAGAGUCACUUCACAUCUGGGAAUAAAUCCCAGUCCUACCUGAUUCAUUCAUUUAUUUCACCCACACUUAUUGAACACUUGCUGUGUGCACUUGCUGCUCCGAGUGUUGGUAUAUGACACAGUGCCGGCUGCUAAGGAGCCCAUGGUCUACUUAAGGGGACAGACACGUAUGGGAUGCAGUGCCCCGGGGUAAGUGCAACAAUGCUAGUAUGGGGGGCAUUUGGAGAGCGUAGAGAAAGAGCCUCCCAUACACCCUUGAAAGGCCAGCAAGUGCUUCCUGGAGUUGAUGGUACCUGAGCUAAAUAUUAAAGAAGUAGAAGCUGGUCAGAUUAUGUGGAGGUUGCUGGGUGUGAGCCCACAGUGGGUAGGUUUGCUAUUUCUGGUGAGAGAGACAAACACAAGUAUAUUCAGAGAACUAAAUGGUUUCCUGGCUGCUGCACCUGGAUUCUGGAGAAGUAGAUCUUGAGUGUGAGUUUCUAAAAAAUGAGAUAAGUUAAUGAUCUGUAAUCUCAGCUACUCAGGAGGCUGAGGCAGGAGAAUCGCUUGAACCCGGGAGGCGGAGGUUGCAGGGAGCCAAGACCGCACCACUGCACUCCAGCCUGGGCAACACAGUGAGUGAGACUCAGUCUCAAAAAAAAAGUUAAUUGGUAGAGUGAACUUUUCCUCCUGAAUGGGGCCUUGAAGGCAUCAUAGGGCAUGGCAAAUGGGUUGGGGUUGCCAGGCCUUGAUCAGAUGACUGGUGGAAACUGGCCGUGGGCUUUGAGCUGUACUUCUUGUCAGACUCUUCCCUGUGGAUUACAGAAGAGCGCUUAUAUCUCCCAAUUCACAUUUGCUAAAAACGACAACAACAACAAACCAAAAAACAAAACAAAACAAAACAAAAAAACGAAGAAUCAAACAAACAAAACACUGGAAGAAAAGGGUAAGGAACAGGGCACCAGAUAACCAGGUUGUCUUUGAGUGUGCAGAGUGUGUGGCUGAGUGUGAGCAUGUCAUCUCCCAGAGGGCAGAAUGCCUGAGGACAGUCCUACGUGGCCUGUGCAGUUAAUACAACCGUCACAAUUUUCUCAGUUACCUGCUCACUGCCCAGAGAGGACACGGUAAGUGUCACCUGGACUUCUUGGCACUUUAGGGGUUAGACGGUCACCUCGCAACAAGCCGAGGGUUCUUUUCUGAAUCAUUCCCUGUUAUAAUUCAGCAUUAAGGUUCUUGGUUGUGAAUUAAAAAAAAACAAGCAGAAGGCAAAUUGAUUGGAAGGGUAUUUGGUAGCUCUUUGCUAUCUGUGGGUAGUUGAGCACACCAGUCUGAGCACAAACAAAGGUCAGCAAGGCCCAGGGACAUCCUACCCUGGGUGCUCUGGGCUUAGGGUGUUGCUUCUGGGUUCUCACUGUUGGAUGCAACUGUCCCUGGAAACUUUUAUCACAUGAAUGGCCUCCUGAUAACCUCUAACUGAUCCUGGACUUUGCUGCAUGGACACGGAAUUAAAACCUGAGUGGAAGCCUCUGACUGGCUGUGCCCAGGUCACAUGGCCUUGCUGAGGAAGGAGAGAAGGGAACCACGUGCCCUCUUUGGCUCCCUUAAUAAAGGAACCUGUCUCCCGCCUAAUUUGAAAUGUCCCCCCCGGAAUAGGAGAGUGUUUGAAUGCUGAAUGGCCCCAAAUGCCAAGUAACUACCAUGUUUUUUGACCUUCCAGACCCGACUUUCAGACACAUUUUGCUCCCCAGCGCUGCCCACCUUUGGUUUCACAGCAGUUCUGAGGCCUGAGAAACUGAGGAGUUUUUCUGGCCACUUUUGGGAGAAGCCAUCUUUUAAAUUCUUGAUCAGUUUCUUCAGCCCCUUCCCUGGAAACAGACACCAUUUCUCUUUGAGGGAAAAGAGAAGUCAUUGCCUAUCUGUGAAGGGGAUUCCACUUCCUCUGAGAGAGCUUCCUGUCAAUAGCCUCUUCUUGUCUCAUAUUGUGUACAUCAGAGGCAAUGAAUUGAGCAGGAGGAAAGGGGCCACUUAGUCUCUGACUGUUUCAGUUUUUUCCUGCCUUGACAAAUGGCAGAAAUCAUACUGUCUCAUUGAGUAGGCCUCAAGUUAAAACACUCAGGGCCACUUAGACUAUUCUUUUCUUUUUCUUUUUAAACAGGUUUAUAAUUGACAUACAAAAACUGCACCUAUUUAAUGUAUCCAAUUUGAUGAGUUUGAACAUAUGCAUGCCCCUUUGACACCAUUACCACAACCAAGGUAAUAGACACAGCUAUCAUCUCAAAAGUUCACUUGUGUCCCCCCAUUCCUUUUUUUAAGGGAAAGAACACUUAACAGGAGACAUACCCUCUUAAUAAAAUUUUAAGUGCAUGAUACAGUAUUGUUGACUGUGCAAUGCUGUCCAGCAGAUCUCUAGAACUAAUUCACUUGUAUGACUGUAACUUUAUACCCAUUGGGCAACGGAUCCCCAUUUCCCUUCCCUUCGGCCCCCGGCAACCACCUUUUUAUUCUUUGCUUCUAUGAGCCUAUUUUAGAUACCUCAUCCAAGUGGAAUCAUGCAGUAUUUGUCCUUCUGUGCCUGGCUCAUUUCACUUAGCAUAAUGUCUUCCAGGUUCAUCCAUGUUGUCGAAAAUGGCAGGGUUUCCUUCUUUUCUCAGGCUGAAAAAUUCUAUUGUGUGUGUGUACCACAUUUUCUUUAUCCAUUCAUCUCUUGAUGGACAUUUGGGUCGUUUCCAUAACUUGACUCUUCUUAACCUUGUUGCAGUGAACACGGGAGUGCAGAUAUCUUUUGAAGAUCCUGUUUUCAAUUCUUUUGGGUAUAUACUCGGUAGUAGGGUUGCAAAUUAAAAAUGGAGCUCUCACAGACCAUUAUUUUCUUGAUCCUUUGGUGCAUUUACUUUGGGUUGCCUAGGAACUCCUCCGUCUGUGGAUUUACCUUGUAGAGUCAGAGGGGAUGAUUGGGGAACCUGCAUGGCGAUGUGGGUUUUGAGCCUCUUUGGAAUUCAAACAAUACUGAUUUACCAGAACAAGAAAAUUUGGCUUUGGCCCCAAUACAGGCUGAGAAAGUUCAUCUUUUUAAAAGGGGCCAGUUCUUGAUUAGUUAGGGUACUGGAAUGGUCCAGGGAGGGAUAACUCAGGCCAUUUGCUUUGCCUCCUUCCCUUUCUUUCUGUCUGAUCUUUGGCCAGUUCAUGGCUUUCUAAUCCUGCCACUGGGGGAUGAAGGAAGAUUAAACUUGUGCC